RNAcentral lists this ribosomal RNA (468 nucleotides) under uncultured bacterium. RNAcentral describes it as "partial 16S ribosomal RNA". It matches the Rfam family "Bacterial small subunit ribosomal RNA", at positions 28 to 507 of the family's 1533-position model. The record is from RNAcentral.
GACGAACGCUGGCGGCGUGCUUAACACAUGCAAGUCGAACGGAAAGGCCCUGCUUUUGUGGGGUGCUCGAGUGGCGAACGGGUGAGUAACACGUGAGUAACCUGCCCUUGACUUUGGGAUAACUUCAGGAAACUGGGGCUAAUACCGGAUAGGAGCUCCUGCUGCAUGGUGGGGGUUGGAAAGUUUCGGCGGUUGGGGAUGGACUCGCGGCUUAUCAGCUUGUUGGUGGGGUAGUGGCUCACCAAGGCUUUGACGGGUAGCCGGCCUGAGAGGGUGACCGGCCACAUUGGGACUGAGAUACGGCCCAGACUCCUACGGGAGGCAGCAGUGGGGAAUAUUGCACAAUAGGCGGAAGCCUGAUGCAGCAACGCCGCGUGCGGGAUGACGGCCUUCGGGUUGUAAACCGCUUUCGCCUGUGACGAAGCGUGAGUGACGGUAAUGGGUAAAGAAGCACCGGCUAACUACGUG